Molecule: long non-coding RNA, 873 nt
Filed under: Olea europaea (common olive)
Lineage: Eukaryota; Viridiplantae; Streptophyta; Magnoliopsida; Lamiales; Oleaceae
Description: long non-coding RNA (OEUR_LNC011585)
Source: RNAcentral
UGAGAAAAAACCUCUCAAAAAAUAGAGAGAAAGAGUGUGCUGUAGCAACUCAUUUGUAAUCCUGAAAUUUUAUUAGUAAAAUCUCAUAUUUCUCCAAUCUCUAUCCUUCUACAUCCAACAGUUCCUUCAAUUUGAUUAUUUGAGAUUUAGCAUGCUGAUUGUUUCUUGGACAUAACACUUUAAGAACGUUAUAUCUAUUAGUCUGUUGACAAAUCAAGACUCGCAAGUCACCGUACUCUCAUCAGCAUUGCCAGCUGCUAGAAGUUCCAUAUACAUAUUUUUAGUCGGAUUGCAUAAAACGGUUGGGUUAUUAUGGGAGGCACAGACAAACGAAGGAAGCCAUUAAACAAAUCCACUGUAAUGAUCAUGUGAUUCUUGGUAUCCAGGUUAAUGUUUAGCUUACUCUUAGUAUUUCUGUUAUAGAAACAAUUGCUUGGGCAUCAACGUUGUGCAAAGGAAUCUUCAAUUUGGUAUCAAGCAUCAGAUUCAAUCACAUUGUUUAUAGAUGGUUUGAUAAAGUCAAGAAUUCUUGAAAUUCAUCCAACGUCCAAGGUUUGGACUAGAAUGCUUAUUUUUGAAUGUGCAAAGUGAUGCUUGGCAAAGUAAAGGCUAGAAAUUAGUUUGUGCCAAGUUUUGCACACAUACUUGCACAUUACAAUCCCUUUAAUGGACAGAUAUAGCAGAAUUUCUAUAAUGAUGAACUCCAGCAAAUCUAUUAUGGGCGUUCUUGUUAUGCCAAUUAUUAGGUGAAAUCUAGACAAGCAACAAAAAGUAGAACUGUUAGCAACAAUAGACUACUAUUUUACAGCACAAAGUAAAAACAUGUGGAAGUCUACUUUUAAAUCUAUGCAAAUAUAGGAAACUAAAGGAAAA